GACGAACGCUGGCGGCGUGCUUAACACAUGCAAGUCGAACGGAAAGGCCCUGCUUUUGCGGGGCGCUUGAGUGGCGAACGGGUGAGUAACACGUGAGUAACCUGCCCUUGACUUUGGGAUAACUUCAGGAAACUGGGGCUAAUACCGGAUAGAAGCUCCUGCUGCAUGGUGGGGGUUGGAAAGUUUCGGCGGUUGGGGAUGGACUCGCGGCUUAUCCGCUUGAUGGUGGGGUAGGGGCUUCCCAAGGUUUUGACGGGUAGCCGACCUGAGAGGGUUGCCAGCGACCUUGGGACUACGGUACGGCCCAGUAUCCUACGGUACGCAGCGGGCGGGAGUCUUGCGCAAUGAGCGGGAGCCAGAGACAGAGGCGCCGGGAGCGGAAUAACGGCCUACGGGUUAAAAACAGCUUUCGCCUGUGACGAAGCGUGAGUGACGGUAAUGAAUAAAAAAGCACCGGCUAACUACGUG
RNAcentral lists this ribosomal RNA (468 nucleotides) under uncultured bacterium. RNAcentral describes it as "partial 16S ribosomal RNA". It matches the Rfam family "Bacterial small subunit ribosomal RNA", at positions 28 to 507 of the family's 1533-position model. The record is from RNAcentral.